Molecule: non-coding RNA, 563 nt
Organism: Oncorhynchus mykiss (rainbow trout)
Lineage: Eukaryota; Metazoa; Chordata; Actinopteri; Salmoniformes; Salmonidae
Source: RefSeq, a predicted model, not a curated record
CACAGGACCUCACACAGCAGUACAGGGAGGCACUCGGCAAGGUAACACACAGGACCUCACACAGCAGUACAGGGAGGCACUCGGCAAGGUAACACACAGGACCUCACACAGCAGUACAGGGAGGUAACACACAGGACCUCACACAGCAGUACAGGGAGGCACUCGGCAAGGUAACACACAGGACCUCACACAGCAGUACAGGGAGGUAACACACAGCAGUACAGGGAGGCACUCGGCAAGGUAACACACAGGACCUCACACAGCAGUACAGGGAGGUAACACACAGCAGUACAGGGAGGCACUCGGCAAGGUAACACACAGGACCUCACACAGCAGUACAGGGAGGUAACACACAGGACCUCACACAGCAGUACAGGGAGGCACUCGGCAAGGUAACACACAGGACCUCACACAGCAGUACAGGGAGGUAACACACAGCAGUACAGGGAGGUAACACACAGGACUUCACACAGCAGUACAGGGAGGCACUCGGCAAGGUAACACACAGGACCUCACACAGCAGUACAGGGAGGUAACACACAGCAGUACAGUGAGGUAACACA